This 468-nucleotide ribosomal RNA is filed under the name uncultured bacterium. Its description in RNAcentral is "partial 16S ribosomal RNA". It matches the Rfam family "Bacterial small subunit ribosomal RNA", at positions 28 to 507 of the family's 1533-position model. The record is from RNAcentral.
GACGAACGCUGGCGGCGUGCUUAACACAUGCAAGUCGAACGGAAAGGUCCUGCUUUUGUGGGGUGCUCGAGUUGCGAACGGGUGAGUAACACGUGAGUUACCUGCCCUUGACUUUGGGAUAACUUCAUGAAACUGGGGCUAAUACCGGAUAGGAGCUCCUACUGCAUGGUGGGGGUGGGAUAGUUUCGGCGGUUGGGGAUGGACUCGCGGCGUAUCAGCUUGUUGGUGGGGUAGUGGCUUACCAAGGCCUUGACGGGUAGCCGGCCUGAGAGGGUGACCGGCCACACUGGGACUGGGAUGCGGCCCAGACUACUACGGGAGGCAGCGGAGGGGUAUAGUGUACAGUGGGCGGAAGGCUGAUGCAGCAACGCAGCGUGCGGGAUGACGGCCAUCGGGUUGUAAUGCGCUUUCGCCUGUGACGAAGCGUGAGUGACGGUAAUGGGUAAAGAAGCACCGGCUAACUACGUG